UUUUUUUUUUUUUGGGUUUGGGCAGGGUUCAAAAUGUUGGGCCUCUUAUUAUUAGCCCAAUUGUUAAAUGAAAAUAUCCGAAUUUAUCAAAGUUCAAUUACCCAAUAAAAUUGAAUCAAAUGCCCAAAUAACUCCCAUUUCUCCCAAAUCGUAGAACGGUGGAAGGUUGGAAGAAAACGCUUUUCCAAUUUCUUCAAUCUUCCUUCGCCGCUCGCCCUUGCCUGCACAACGCUGCACACGAGUGACGAGACACGACAGUGUUGGAGACCGCCGGUUUCGCCCCUACCCUACAGGCUGCAUUGUGAGACACUUCUUCCUUCGCCGCCGCCGGUUCGGCCCUGAUUUCUAAUUGUUUUUCUAACAUGACUUUUGACUUCAUUCUGAAAAUCUUUCAUCUUUUUGAGUUUUGGAAUAAAGAUAGAUAUAUUGUUGUGUUGUUAGUUGAUAUACUAAUUAAUUAUCCAAUACGCCAUAAAAUAUUGUAUCAUUAAUGAAUAGGGUGGAUUAAAAUUUAAAAGUACAAACUUUAAUUAAAAACAAGAUUACUGCAAUUUUAGUUAUCUUCAUAAUUUACUUCUGUUAAUUAUUAUAUUCCUCAAAUAUUGGACUAAGGGUGAGGGAUAUAAUUAAAUAAUUGAACAGUGCCAAUAUAUUAUGUGAGUGCUUAUAUUUUUUAAAUGAAAAUUUUCACAGGGUAUGAAUCGUAUGAUUGCCUGUUUGUAUGUGCUAACUGCUAAAUUGGCAAAUUUAAAUAUAUUGUAUUGUAAUUUGUAGGUGCUAACUGCUCAACACCAUUUUUAACGGUUUAAAGGUAUCAUUUUGGCAUGAAAUUGGAGCAGAAUCGCAGAAUUCUUUGUCCACUUGGCGAGCAAGUUCUUUGGUUCACUGGUUGGAGACUUGGAGCCAAUAUUUAUACCAAAUGAUUCCUUCCUCAUGUCAAUGACUUAAGUUGAUAAGUUGAUGUUAAAUAUGUUGUGAUUUAUGAAUUAUGAUAAGUAAUUUACGUUUUAUGAGUUAUAAUUAUUGAUUUGGGAAUUUAUGUUUAUGAAAUUAUAUUUGCAUUCGUGAUUUAUGAUAAGUAAUUUAUGUUUUGAUGAGGAAUGAUUAUUGAUUUGGGAAUUUAUGUUUACGAAAUUAUGUUGUGAAUUGUGAUUUAUGAUAAGUAAUUUAUGUUUUGCAAAUUAUGAUUAUUGAUUAGAGAAUUUACGUUUAGGAAAUUAGUCAAAGUGAACAAAUUUAAUUGAGAAGAUGUUGGCC
Molecule: long non-coding RNA, 1257 nt
Filed under: Olea europaea (common olive)
Lineage: Eukaryota; Viridiplantae; Streptophyta; Magnoliopsida; Lamiales; Oleaceae
Description: long non-coding RNA (OEUR_LNC013518)
Source: RNAcentral